RNA transcript from Amphiprion ocellaris (clown anemonefish), 2056 nucleotides. RefSeq lists it as uncharacterized. NCBI's taxonomy places the organism in Eukaryota, Metazoa, Chordata, Actinopteri, Pomacentridae. The transcript has 8 exons. The record is from RefSeq and is a predicted model, not a curated record.
UUGUGCAGUUAUGUUAGGACAUGGAUAAAAGUGGGAGUUUUCAUGGAAAACAUGGAAUUGUCUGGAUGACCCCAAACUUUUGAAUGGUAGCGUAGGCCAACUUUAAAUUAAAUUUAGAUAAAUUUAGUUUAAAUUUAGAGCAACCUGAAAUAGUACAGAGCAACUUUAAUUAAUAUGGAGCAACUUUAAUUUUUGAGCAACUUUAGCAUAGAGCAACUCUAACAAUAUGACUAAUAUAGGGCAAUUUUAACUCUUUUAGAGUAACUAAUGUAGAACAACUUUAAUUUUUGAGCAACAUUAACUAACAAUAUCUACUUUAGUUAAUAUGGGGCAACUUUAACUCAUUUAGAGCAACUUCAAAUAAUAUAGAGCAACUUUAAUACUAUCAACUUUAGCUGAUAUAGGACAACUUUAAUGUGGAGCAACUUUAAAUAAUAUAAAGCAACUUUAACUCCUUUAGAGCACCUUUGAUAUGGAGCAACUUUAAUUUCUGAGCAACUUUAAAUGAUGUAGAGCAACUUUAACGUAGAGUAACUUUAAUACAGAGCAACUCUAACGAUAUCAACUUUAAUAUACGGCAACUUUAAUACGGAGCAGCUAUUUUUGAGCAACUUUAACUCCUUUAGAGCAACUUUAAUUCAUUCUGAGCAAUUUUAAUAUAAAUCAACUUUAAUGUAGAGCAACUUUAACUCAUUUAGAACAACUUUAAUAUGGAGCAACUUCAAUAAUAUCAACUUUAGCUAAUAUAGGUCAACUGAUGCCACUGUGUGUGUGUGAGUCCUUUAAUAACAGCAGCAACCUUUGUUCAUUCCAAAAGUUGACGGAUCGAGCAUAAGAUUGACUGUUUCUGAGAACAACUGUGAGUUCUGUGGUACUAAAUAGAGAAGUGAGUGAGUUCUGGGGGCUGUGGACGAUACUGCCUACUCGAUGUGAAGAGGAAGUCACACAAACAGGUAGAGUUAAAACAGCCGUGGUGUGAAAUUAUCCACAGUUAAGGGUGAACAUGUCGGCAGACGGGACCAAGUUAUUAUUCGAGGGCUUUCUGCAGAAAAGAAAGGACACUCUGAAGAUAAUGUGGGUCACUUAUUGGUUCAGACUCCAGAACACCACCUUGUUCUUCUACACUAAGAAGAACGGCAGUGCUUUGCACCUGAGAGGAUAUUACUACAUCUACACAGUGCAGUCAGUGAGAGAAGUCCAGAAAGCUGACAGACAGCGCUUCAUGUUUGAAAUCAUCAUGACGAGUGGAAAAAGAAAAGUGUUGGCAGCAGAGACAGCAGCUCUGAGGAAGGAAUGGGUCAGGACACCUCUGGAGAGCCAUGAACCUGUCCACCAGCAGCUCAGUCUCUCACCUCCAGAUGUGCGAGCAGCAGCCAGACAGAAGACACAGCAGCAGGACACCUGUCAGUGUGAUCGAGCUGCUUCCUGCUCGGCCUCUUUCUGCUCCUCCACCUUCAGACCACCUCCAGCCUGAAGCCAGAAGCAUCAAACCUGCCGUGGACCAGCCUGAGGAGCAGAGCGGAGAGGAGGAGGCCAUCUACCAGAACACACUGUUGGCCUGCAGCUACCAGGACCACAGCGAUGAUCCUCAGAGGUGCAGUGAGCUGAACGAUGCAGAGAGCAGUCUAGAAGGAGACUAUGACGUUUUACCCGUUAGAAACAGUAAGAUCUCAAGUAUGCAUUCAGUAAUUAGCAGUUUUCUGUCACCAUGCACUGACUCUGGUGUGUGAUUUAUCUUUAGAAAUAUGUGAGGCGAGCAUUUCAGCAGAGAUGGAUGAGAACAUCUAUGACUUCCCUCAGUCCUACAGGACUUCAGCUCAAUGUCAGGGUGAGAUAGAGUUUACACUUAUGAAGAGCUGGUUAUAUUGAAAUUAUAAACAUGUUUUCUGCGGUUUUGUCGAUUUCAGACCUCACAGAGAGCAUCUAUGACGUACCGAGCUCUCUUCUGAGGAAGAUGCCUGAAGACAAAACAGAUGAGCAGCUGGAGGAAGAAUCGAGCUGGAAGGUGUCGUUUGAGGACAGCAGCAGCACAUUUAGCUCACAAUGCAUUUAACUC